RNAcentral lists this ribosomal RNA (242 nucleotides) under uncultured bacterium. RNAcentral's name for it is "partial 16S ribosomal RNA". It matches the Rfam family "Bacterial small subunit ribosomal RNA", at positions 92 to 334 of the family's 1533-position model. The record is from RNAcentral.
CGAGCGGCGGACGGGUGAGUAACGCGUGGGUAACCGUGCCUCAUACAGGGGGAUAACAGUUGGAAACGGCUGCUAAUACCGCAUAAGCGCACAGUACCGCAUGGUACCGUGUGAAAAACUCCGGUGGUAUGAGAUGGACCCGCGUCUGAUUAGCUAGUUGGUGGGGUAACGGCCUACCAAGCGACGAUCAGUAGCCGACCUGAGAGGGUGACCGGCCACAUUGGGACUGAGACACGGCCCAA